GAGCCCGUGGUUUAAUGGUAGAAUGGCGCAUUGACAUUGCGUCGAAAGGAGUUCGAUUCUCCUCGGGCUCA
RNAcentral lists this transfer RNA (71 nucleotides) under Candidatus Iainarchaeum sp. Its description in RNAcentral is "tRNA-Val". It matches the Rfam family "tRNA". From Rfam's summary of the family: Transfer RNA (tRNA) molecules are approximately 80 nucleotides in length. Their secondary structure includes four short double-helical elements and three loops (D, anti-codon, and T loops). The record is from RNAcentral. Lineage: Archaea; Nanobdellati; Candidatus Iainarchaeota; Candidatus Iainarchaeia; Candidatus Iainarchaeales; Candidatus Iainarchaeaceae.